UGCUGGCGUCAUGGCCAGCUCCUUUUAAAUUCAUUAGCGGGACUUUGAAGACUCGGCUUCAGUUUGAUAAUGCAUCUAUGCUGUCGCCGAAGAACGGUUUUGUCUGGCUUAUAGUUGUCCUUUAAAAGGACUGUCUCUUAUGAGGCACAACGCAAUCAACUCUUGACCUCAAAUCAGGUAGGACUACCCGCUGAACUUAA
Molecule: unclassified non-coding RNA, 200 nt
Filed under: soil metagenome
Description: partial contains internal transcribed spacer 2 and large subunit ribosomal RNA
Source: RNAcentral